AGCUUUGCGCAGUGGCAGUAUCGUAGCCAAUGAGGUUUAUCCGAGGCACGAUUAUUGCUAAUUGAAAAAAUAAUUGGGAGACCAUUGAUGAUAUUGGUUUGAAAUGGAGUAAAACCCAUGUCAAAGAAAGUAAGGAGACGCUUUCUGUG
Molecule: small nuclear RNA, 149 nt
Filed under: Tupaia belangeri (northern tree shrew)
Lineage: Eukaryota; Metazoa; Chordata; Mammalia; Scandentia; Tupaiidae
Description: U4 spliceosomal RNA (ENSTBEG00000019569.1)
Rfam family: U4 spliceosomal RNA (bases 1-75)
About the family: U4 small nuclear RNA (U4 snRNA) is a component of the major U2-dependent spliceosome. The structure of U4 snRNA from yeast and human has been reported. U4 snRNA presents a k-turn RNA motif in the 5p-SL related to recognition of Snu13 protein.
Source: RNAcentral